Molecule: long non-coding RNA, 395 nt
Organism: Solanum pennellii
Lineage: Eukaryota; Viridiplantae; Streptophyta; Magnoliopsida; Solanales; Solanaceae
Exons: 2
Source: RefSeq, a predicted model, not a curated record
CACAGACUCAAUAUAUAAUCAAAAUAUAAAAAAUGGCAAAAGUUUCAAUUUACUACUGUUUUCUUCUUAUUAUCACAUUUUUGUCAGUUCUUAACAUGACAAUUUCUCAAGAGCAUCAAAUUAAAGAUUUGCAAUGUGCUACUCCAAUUUUCGACAUAACAUGCAAGGUGGAUGAAGAUUGUAUGCCUAGUUGUAAGGAUAAAUAUAAAGAUAGAUUCAUGAGUGCGGGUUGUAUAUUAAGUCCAGAUAAACCUGAUCGUAUUUGUCUUUGUGGUUACUAUUGUUGAAUGUGACCAAUAAUAAGGGUUUAUAUAGCCAAAAUAAUAUAUUGGGGAAUCAAUUUAAACAAUAUAAAAUAAUAAAAAGGUAUAUCGUAUUUGUCUUUGUUGCUACUA